CAAUAGCGUAUAUUAAAGUUGUUGCAGUUAAAAAGCUCGUAGUUGGAUUUCUGGAUCGAACGCUUCGUCCGCCGCUGUGCGGUGUGUACUGAGGUUUUGUUUCGAUUCAUCCUUGCAGGGAAGCGAGUUCGAGAUUAAUUUGUCGGCUCGGGGAACUGCAUCUUUUACUGUGAAAAAAUUAGAGUGUUUAAAGCAGGCAUUAUGCUGUGAAUACAUUAGCAUGGAAUAAUAACAUAGGACUUUGGUUCUAUUUUGUUGGUUGGAGGCCAAGGUAAUGAUUAAUAGGGACAGUUGGGGGUAUUCAUAUUUAAUUGUCAGAGGUGAAAUUCUUGGAUUUAUGAAAGAUGAACUCAUGCGAAAGCAUUUACCAAGGAUGUUUUCAUUAA
Molecule: ribosomal RNA, 386 nt
Filed under: uncultured eukaryote
Lineage: Eukaryota
Description: partial 18S ribosomal RNA
Rfam family: Eukaryotic small subunit ribosomal RNA
Source: RNAcentral